This 405-nucleotide ribosomal RNA is filed under the name uncultured bacterium. RNAcentral's name for it is "bacterial SSU rRNA". It matches the Rfam family "Bacterial small subunit ribosomal RNA", at positions 355 to 776 of the family's 1533-position model. The record is from RNAcentral.
UGGGGGAUAUUGCACAAUGGGGGGAACCCUGAUGCAGCGACACCGCGUGGGUGAGGAAGCGCUUCGGCGUGUAAAGCCCUAUCAGUGGGGAAGAAAGAAGACGGUACCCAAAGAAGAAGCACCGGCUAAAUACGUGCCAGCAGCCGCGGUAAUACGUAUGGUGCAAGCGUUAUCCGGAAUGACUGGGUGUAAAGGGAGCGUAGACGGUUGUAUAAGUCUGAUGUGAAAGCCCUCGGCUUAACUGGGGGAGUGCAUUGGAAACUAUAGAACUAGAGUAUCGGAGAGGCAAGUGGAAUUCCUAGUGUAGCGGUGAAAUGCGUAGAUAUUAGGAGGAACACCAGUGGCGAAGGCGGCUUGCUGGACGAAAACUGACGUUGAGGCUCGAAAGCGUGGGGAGCAAACAGG